Molecule: ribosomal RNA, 1435 nt
Filed under: uncultured organism
Description: 16S ribosomal RNA
Rfam family: Bacterial small subunit ribosomal RNA
Source: RNAcentral
UUAACACAUGCAAGUCGAGGGGCAUCAGGAAGGAAGCUUGCUUUCUUUGCUGGCGACCGGCGCACGGGUGAGUAACACGUAUCCAACCUGCCCUUUACUCGGGGAUAGCCUUUCGAAAGAAAGAUUAAUACCCGAUGGCAUAAUGAUUCCGCAUGGUUUCAUUAUUAAAGGAUUCCGGUAAAGGAUGGGGAUGCGUUCCAUUAGGUUGUUGGUGAGGUAACGGCUCACCAAGCCUUCGAUGGAUAGGGGUUCUGAGAGGAAGGUCCCCCACAUUGGAACUGAGACACGGUCCAAACUCCUACGGGAGGCAGCAGUGAGGAAUAUUGGUCAAUGGGCGCUAGCCUGAACCAGCCAAGUAGCGUGAAGGAUGAAGGCUCUAUGGGUCGUAAACUUCUUUUAUAUAAGAAUAAAGUGCAGUAUGUAUACUGUUUUGUAUGUAUUAUAUGAAUAAGGAUCGGCUAACUCCGUGCCAGCAGCCGCGGUAAUACGGAGGAUCCGAGCGUUAUCCGGAUUUAUUGGGUUUAAAGGGAGCGUAGGUGGACUGGUAAGUCAGUUGUGAAAGUUUGCGGCUCAACCGUAAAAUUGCGGUUGAUACUGUCAGUCUUGAGUACAGUAGAGGUGGGCGGAAUUCGUGGUGUAGCGGUGAAAUGCUUAGAUAUCACGAAGAACUCCGAUUGCGAAGGCAGCUCACUGGACUGCAACUGACACUGAUGCUCGAAAGUGUGGGUAUCAAACAGGAUUAGAUACCCUGGUAGUCCACACAGUAAACGAUGAAUACUCGCUGUUUGCGAUAUACAGUAAGCGGCCAAGCGAAAGCAUUAAGUAUUCCACCUGGGGAGUACGCCGGCAACGGUGAAACUCAAAGGAAUUGACGGGGGCCCGCACAAGCGGAGGAACAUGUGGUUUAAUUCGAUGAUACGCGAGGAACCUUACCCGGGCUUAAAUUGCAGUGGAAUGAUGUGGAAACAUGUCAGUGAGCAAUCACCGCUGUGAAGGUGCUGCAUGGUUGUCGUCAGCUCGUGCCGUGAGGUGUCGGCUUAAGUGCCAUAACGAGCGCAACCCUUAUCUUUAGUUACUAACAGGUCAUGCUGAGGACUCUAGAGAGACUGCCGUCGUAAGAUGUGAGGAAGGUGGGGAUGACGUCAAAUCAGCACGGCCCUUACGUCCGGGGCUACACACGUGUUACAAUGGGGGGUACAGAAGGCAGCUAGCGGGUGACCGUAUGCUAAUCCCAAAAUCCUCUCUCAGUUCGGAUCGAAGUCUGCAACCCGACUUCGUGAAGCUGGAUUCGCUAGUAAUCGCGCAUCAGCCACGGCGCGGUGAAUACGUUCCCGGGCCUUGUACACACCGCCCGUCAAGCCAUGGGAGCCGGGGGUACCUGAAGUACGUAACCGCAAGGAUCGUCCUAGGGUAAAACUGGUGACUGGGGCUAAGU